AUUGAACGCUGGCGGCAUGCCUUACACAUGCAAGUCGAACGGUAACAGGUCUUCGGAUGCUGACGAGUGGCGAACGGGUGAGUAAUACAUCGGAACGUGCCCGAUCGUGGGGGAUAACGGAGCGAAAGCUUUGCUAAUACCGCAUACGAUCUACGGAUGACAGCAGGGGACCGCAAGGCCUUGCGCGGACGGAGCGGCCGAUGGCAGAUUAGGUAGUUGGUGGGAUAAAAGCUUACCAAGCCGACGAUCUGUAGCUGGUCUGAGAGGACGACCAGCCACACUGAGACUGAGACACGGCCCAGACUCCUACGGGAGGCAGCAGUGGGGAAUUUUGGACAAUGGGCGAAAGCCUGAUCCAGCCAUGCCGCGUGCAGGAUGAAGGCCUUCGGGUUGUAAACUGCUUUUGUACGGAACGAAAAGACUCUUUCUAAUAAAGAGGGUCCAUGACGGUACCGUAAGAAUAAGCACCGGCUAACUACGUG
This 482-nucleotide ribosomal RNA is filed under the name uncultured bacterium. Its description in RNAcentral is "partial 16S ribosomal RNA". It matches the Rfam family "Bacterial small subunit ribosomal RNA", at positions 30 to 507 of the family's 1533-position model. The record is from RNAcentral.